CUAGUACUCCCUCCGUCCGGAAAUACUUGUCCUAGAAAUGGAUAAAAUGGAUGUAUCUAUAACUAAAAUAAGUCUAGAUACAACCAUUCCCGGACAAGUAUUUCCGGAUGGAGGGAGUAGUUG
Molecule: non-coding RNA, 123 nt
Organism: Triticum aestivum (bread wheat)
Lineage: Eukaryota; Viridiplantae; Streptophyta; Magnoliopsida; Poales; Poaceae
Source: Rfam